Molecule: unclassified non-coding RNA, 210 nt
Filed under: Hevea brasiliensis (rubber tree)
Lineage: Eukaryota; Viridiplantae; Streptophyta; Magnoliopsida; Malpighiales; Euphorbiaceae
Source: RNAcentral
ACAUUAAAUUUUUGUCACUACUUCAAAGUAACCUUAGUCGAUGAUAUAAAUUGAUCAUUGUAAAUUAACACAAUAAGGAUCAUGUAAAAUAUUUGCUUACAAUCUUGGCCAUGUAAUGACAUUGGAAUGGAAAUUUAUGAGGAUGUACAUUUAUAGUCUUUUAUGGCACCUAUAUUCCAUUUUGCGAGGGGAAGAUUGAAAAAAGCCUUG